This 683-nucleotide ribosomal RNA is filed under the name Stylodactylus sp. BOLD:ACR5270. RNAcentral describes it as "bacterial SSU rRNA". It matches the Rfam family "Eukaryotic small subunit ribosomal RNA", at positions 622 to 1266 of the family's 1831-position model. Lineage: Eukaryota; Metazoa; Arthropoda; Malacostraca; Decapoda; Stylodactylidae. The record is from RNAcentral.
AAAAGCUCGUAGUCAGAGCUUCGCUCCGGAGUGGUCGGGUAGGUGGCCGCCCGGCCGUCGACCCGUAAACUCCGGACUGCUUCCUCGCCCAGAGGAAGCGCCAGCCGGUUUCGGGCGGGGUGCUCUUCACCGAGUGUCCCGCGCGACCGGCCGUUUUACCUUGAAUAAAUGAGAGUGCUCAAAGCAGUCUACUCUUAAAAAUAAAGCCCGAAUGAUACCUGCAUGGAAUAAUGGAAGAUGAUCUCGGUUCCAUUUUGGUUGCGUUAUGGAACCCGAGUUAAUGAUGAAGCGGGACUGCCGGGGGCAUCCGUACUACGGCGCGAGAGGUGAAAUUCUGUGACCGUCGUAGGACGAACAACAGCGAAAGCAUUUGCCAAGAAUGUUUUCCUUGAUCAAGAACGAAAGUUAGAGGAUCGAAGGCGAUCAGAUACCGCCCUAGUUUUAACCGUAAACGAUGCUAACUAGUAAUCCGCCGUCGUUAUACCCAUGACGCGGCGGGACACCCCCGGGAAACCUCAAGUCUUUGAGUUCCGGGGGUAGUAUGGUUGCAAAAUUGAAACUUAAAGGAAUUGACGGAAGGGCACCACCAGGAGUGGAGCCUGCGGCUUAAUUUGACUCAACACGGGGAACCUCACCAGGCCCGGACACUAGAAGGACUGACAGAUUAAGAGCUCUUUCUCGAU